Molecule: ribosomal RNA, 436 nt
Filed under: uncultured bacterium
Lineage: Bacteria
Description: bacterial SSU rRNA
Rfam family: Bacterial small subunit ribosomal RNA
Source: RNAcentral
GACGAACGCUGGCGGCGUGCUUAACACAUGCAAGUCGAACGAUAUAGUGGCGAACGGGUGAGUAACACGUAAGCAACCUACCCUCAAGACCGGGACAACUAGCCGAAAGGUUAGCUAAUACCGGAUGUGGCUACGGGAAGACAUCUUCCUGUAAUUAAAUCCCGCAAGGGGCUUAAGGAUGGGCUUGCGUACUAUCAGCUAGUUGGUGAGGUAACGGCUCACCAAGGCAAUGACGGUUAGCUGGUCUGAGAGGACGACCAGUCACAAGGGAACUGAGACACGGUCCCUACUCCUACGGGAGGCAGCAGUGAGGAAUUUUCCGCAAUGGGCGAAAGCCUGACGGAGCGACGCCGUGUGUGGGACGAAAUCCUUCGGGAUGUAAACCACUGUCAGAUGGGAAGAUAUUGACGGUACCAUCAGAGGAAGCCCGCUAACU